AUUGAACGCUGGCGGCAUGCCUUACACAUGCAAGUCGAACGGCAGCACGGGAGCAAUCCUGGUGGCGAGUGGCGAACGGGUGAGUAAAGUAUCGGAACGUGCCCAGUCGUGGGGGAUAACGUAGCGAAAGUUACGCUACUACCGCAUACGAUCUAUGGAUGAAAGCGGGGGAUCGCAAGACCUCGCUCGAUUGGAGCGGCCGAAAUCAGAUUAGGGAGUUGGUGGGGGAAAGGCUCACCAAGCCGACGAUCUGCAGCUGGUCUGAGAGGACGACCAGCCACACUGGGACUGAGACACGGCCCAGACUCCUACGGGAGGCAGCAGUGGGGAAUUUUGGACAAUGGGCGAAAGCCUGAUCCAGCCAUGCCGCGUGCAGGAUGGAGGCCUUCGGGUUGUAAACUGCUUUUGUACGGAACGAAAAGGUUUGGCCUAAUAAGCUGAGCUCAUGACGGUACCGUAAGAAUAAGCACCGGCUAACUACGUGCCAGCCGCCGCGGUAA
Molecule: ribosomal RNA, 500 nt
Filed under: uncultured bacterium
Lineage: Bacteria
Description: partial 16S ribosomal RNA
Rfam family: Bacterial small subunit ribosomal RNA
Source: RNAcentral